GAUGAACGCUGGCGGCGUGCCUAAUACAUGCAAGUCGAGCGAACAGACGAGGUGCUUGCUCCUCUGACGUUAGCGGCGGACGGGUGAGUAACACGUGGAUAACCUACCUAUAAGACUGGGAUAACUUCGGGAAACCGGAGCUAAUACCGUAUAAUAUAUUGAACCGCAUGGUUCAAUAGUGAAAGACGGUUUUGCUGUCACUUAUAGAUGGAUCCGCGCCGCAUUAGCUAGUUGGUAAGGUAACGGCUUACCAAGGCAACGAUGCGUAGCCGACCUGAGAGGGUGAUCGGCCACACUGGAACUGAGACACGGUCCAGACUCCUACGGGAGGCAGCAGUAGGGAAUCUUCCGCAAUGGGCGAAAGCCUGACGGAGCAACGCCGCGUGAGUGAUGAAGGUCUUCGGAUCGUAAAACUCUGUUAUUAGGGAAGAACAGAUGUGUAAGUAACUAUGCACGUCUUGACGGUACCUAAUCAGAAAGCCACGGCUAACUACGUG
This 497-nucleotide ribosomal RNA is filed under the name uncultured bacterium. RNAcentral's name for it is "partial 16S ribosomal RNA". It matches the Rfam family "Bacterial small subunit ribosomal RNA", at positions 28 to 507 of the family's 1533-position model. The record is from RNAcentral.